CCCCAUGUUGAACAUACCUAAACGUUGCCUCGGCGGGUCGUACCUACCCUGUAGUGCACUUACCUGUAAGUGCCUACCCGGUAGGCACGGGUAAGCCCGCCGGCGCCCCACGCAACUCUGUUUAAUUACUGGAUAUCUGAAUUAUAACUAAAUAAGUUAAAACUUUCAACAACGGAUCUCUUGGUUCUGGCAUCGAUGAAGAACGCAGCGAAAUGCGAUAAGUAAUGUGAAUUGCAGAAUUCAGUGAAUCAUCGAAUCUUUGAACGCACAUUGCGCCCAUUAGUAUUCUAGUGGGCAUGCCUGUUCGAGCGUCAUUUCAACCCUUAAGCCUUCUGUUGCUUAGCGUUGGGGGCCUACCGUAUGGCGGUAGCCCUUUAAAAUUAGUGGCGGAGUCGGUUCACACUCUAGACGUAGUAAAUAUUAUCUCGCCUAUUAGUUGGACCGGUCCCCUGCCGUAAAACCCCUUAAUUUUUUCAAGGUUGACCUCGGAUCAGGUAGGAAUACCCGCUGAACUUAAGCAUAUCAAUAAGCGGGAGGAA
This 539-nucleotide ribosomal RNA is filed under the name Xylaria feejeensis. RNAcentral describes it as "eukaryotic LSU rRNA". The stretch from base 161 to 314 matches the Rfam family "5.8S ribosomal RNA". The record is from RNAcentral. Lineage: Eukaryota; Fungi; Ascomycota; Sordariomycetes; Xylariales; Xylariaceae.